UUUAUGGAGAGUUUGAUCCUGGCUCAGGAUGAACGCUGGCGGCGUGCCUAAUACAUGCAAGUCGAGCGAACGGACGAGAAGCUUGCUUCUCUGAUGUUAGCGGCGGACGGGUGAGUAACACGUGGAUAACCUACCUAUAAGACUGGGAUAACUUCGGGAAACCGGAGCUAAUACCGGAUAAUAUUUUGAACCGCAUGGUUCAAAAGUAAAAGACGGUCUUGCUGUCACUUAUAGAUGGAUCCGCGCUGCAUUAGCUAGUUGGUAAGGUAACGGCUUACCAAGGCAACGAUGCAUAGCCGACCUGAGAGGGUGAUCGGCCACACUGGAACUGAGACACGGUCCAGACUCCUACGGGAGGCAGCAGUAGGGAAUCUUCCGCAAUGGGCGAAAGCCUGACGGAGCAACGCCGCGUGAGUGAUGAAGGUCUUCGGAUCGUAAAACUCUGUUAUUAGGGAAGAACAUAUGUGUAAGUAACUGUGCACAUCUUGACGGUACCUAAUCAGAAAGCCACGGCUAACUACGUGCCAGCAGCCGCGGUAAUACGUAGGUGGCAAGCGUUAUCCGGAAUUAUUGGGCGUAAAGCGCGCGUAGGCGGUUUUUUAAGUCUGAUGUGAAAGCCCACGGCUCAACCGUGGAGGGUCAUUGGAAACUGGAAAACUUGAGUGCAGAAGAGGAAAGUGGAAUUCCAUGUGUAGCGGUGAAAUGCGCAGAGAUAUGGAGGAACACCAGUGGCGAAGGCGACUUUCUGGUCUGUAACUGACGCUGAUGUGCGAAAGCGUGGGGAUCAAACAGGAUUAGAUACCCUGGUAGUCCACGCCGUAAACGAUGAGUGCUA
Molecule: ribosomal RNA, 835 nt
Filed under: Staphylococcus aureus
Lineage: Bacteria; Bacillati; Bacillota; Bacilli; Caryophanales; Staphylococcaceae
Description: bacterial SSU rRNA
Rfam family: Bacterial small subunit ribosomal RNA
Source: RNAcentral